GACGAACGCUGGCGGCGUGCCUAACACAUGCAAGUCGAACGGAGAAUCAGCAAUGAUUCUUAGUGGCGAACGGGUGAGUAACGCGUAGACAACCUGCCUUCUAGAUGGGGACAACACUGCGAAAGUGGUGCUAAUACCGAAUGUUGCAUUAAGCCUGCAUGGGCUUGAUACUAAAGGUGGCCUCUAUUUAUAAGCUACCACUAGAAGAUGGGUCUGCGUCUGAUUAGCUAGUUGGUGAGGUAAUGGCUCACCAAGGCGAUGAUCAGUAGCCGGUCUGAGAGGAUGAACGGCCACACUGGGACUGAGACACGGCCCAGACUCCUACGGGAGGCAGCAGUGGGGAAUCUUCCGCAAUGGACGAAAGUCUGACGGAGCAACGCCGCGUGAGUGAAGAAGGUUUUCGGAUCGUAAAGCUCUGUCUUUGAGGACGAAUGUGCUUAAUGUGAAUAAUGUUAAGUAAUGACGGUACUCGAGGAGGAAGCCACGGCUAACUACGUGCCAGCAGCCGCGGUAAUACGUAGCUGGCAAGCGUUGUCCGGAAUUAUUGGGCGUAAAGCGCGCGCAGGCGGGAUAUUAAGUCUGUUUUAAAAGUUCGGGGCUCAACCCCGUGAUGGAAUGGAAACUAAUAUUCUUGAGUGCAGGAGAGGAAAGUGGAAUUCCCAGUGUAGCGGUGAAAUGCGUAGAUAUUGGGAGGAACACCAGUGGCGAAGGCGACUUUCUGGACUGUGUCUGACGCUGAGGCGCGAAAGCCAGGGGAGUGAACGGGAUUAGAUACCCCGGUAAUCCUGGCCGUAAACGAUGGGUACUAGGUGUAGGAGGUAUCGACCCCUUCUGUGCCGGAGUUAACGCAAUAAGUACCCCGCCUGGGGAGUACGGCCGCAAGGUUG
RNAcentral lists this ribosomal RNA (887 nucleotides) under uncultured bacterium. Its description in RNAcentral is "bacterial SSU rRNA". It matches the Rfam family "Bacterial small subunit ribosomal RNA", at positions 28 to 896 of the family's 1533-position model. The record is from RNAcentral.